Long non-coding RNA from Daphnia pulicaria, 185 nucleotides. RefSeq lists it as uncharacterized. NCBI's taxonomy places the organism in Eukaryota, Metazoa, Arthropoda, Branchiopoda, Diplostraca, Daphniidae. The record is from RefSeq and is a predicted model, not a curated record. The transcript is spliced from 4 exons.
UAGCAUUUGCUUCUUUAGAAUCUGAAAUGCUGUUGUGUAAAAGCAAGAUGAUGAGAUCUGAACUUUUUGUAACAUCACACGAAACCACCAUUGUCCCCCCUCGCAAUUCAGAUGAAAAAAUAACCCAUGCCAAAGCUUAUUCAAGAGCAGUAAACGAGAUCACCAUCAAGCAUUUAAUGAUGAAA